RNAcentral lists this unclassified non-coding RNA (361 nucleotides) under uncultured bacterium. RNAcentral describes it as "contains 16S-23S intergenic spacer region". The record is from RNAcentral.
UCCGGUUUAGACCGGCGGUCUCCUUAGACAUAGCAACUAAGGACAAGGGUUGCGCUCGUUGCGGGACUUAACCCAACACCUCACGGCACGAGCUGACGACAGCCAUGCAGCAUCUGUGCACGCUCCCUUGCGGGUCCCUUCACUUACAUGUUGGUACCACGUGCAUGUCAAGCCGAGGUAAGGUUCUGCGCGUUGCAUCGAAUUAAACCACAGGCUCCACCGCUUGUGCGGGCCCCCGUCAAUCCCUUUGAGUUUUAAUCUUGCGACCGUACUCCCCAGGCGGAAUGCUUAAAGCGUUAGCUGCGCCACUAGUGAGUAAACCCACUAACGGCUGGCAUUCAUCGUUUACGGCGUGGACUAC